GGUAGCAUCCUCUCGUAUCAUAAUUGGAUUCCUAUAAAAAUAAAAAAUAAAAAAAUAGGUAACUGUAGUGCACUAAGAGCAUAUCUAAUGGCCUUAUAGUCAAUAAAAAAUUGCAAAUGAAAUGUAUAGGACAUUUUAUCCCGUUUAAAAAUUGGUUAUUUUAAUAAAUUAUUUGAUUUUUUACAAACAAAAAAAAAAAGAUAUGGGGAAGAGUAGAGAGAGUGAUAUGAUAAUUUGUAGUGAUAUUUUGACUUUUUGAUUAAAAUCUUAACUCCCCAAACGAAGGUUUUGAAUUCAAUUGAAGAGGGCAUCUCAACAACAACCAAAGAUUUCUCAUGGAAGGAUAGUGGACAUUGUGGUGAAAUCUGUUGUGGUCAUCUCCCGUCUGAUUAUCUUCUAUUUGGCAAUGAUAAAGAGAAGAAGAGUCAUGCAAUUCUUAGGUAUCUUGCUUGUGCAUUUCCUAGAGUAGCUGAUCACUGGGUAUCCAUCUGAUCUAUUCAAAAGGUCAAAGAUCGAAUCAGUGUUGGAUUGGCAUCACUCUAAUUUACGCCGUGGCGCAGGUAUUUUAUUCCCAAUGUUUUGGUAUAGUAAUUUUUCACCCUUUUAUUUAUUUUCUAAGGUCUAUGUCAUUCUUGAUUAAUCUUUCCUUUUCACCUACUUAUGUUCUAAAUACUAUUCUUGCACCUGUACUUGGCCUUCAAUUGAAUCCACGAGCUGCUGCUGAAGGUGAAAAACUAUUGUUUGCAUCACUUGCAAAGAUUGAAUCUAUUUGGUUGAAGGGGAAUGGUCAGUUUUUGCUGGGAAGCUCUCAGUAGUUCGAGUGGAGGCAUAAUUAUUCUCUCACAUCAAUUAAAAGUCUUUUAUUUUGCCAUCUUGAGAUUGAAAAUCCAUAAAAGUUUCAUGAAGUUUGAAAAAGCAAGUUUUGCAGUGUAUCUUGUUAAUAUUAAUUGACUGACUUUAGCUUUGUGUGUGCUUAAAGCCUUGGAAACCUACCUUUUCCAACAACAUACUUAUUUUUAAGUUAUUAUUAUUGUAUUGCUAUUUAGUAAUACAACCUUGCUUUGGACUAAUUGCUAAUAGAUAUGGAAUCUUGAUUAGAAUAAUUAUGGUUGGUAAGCCUCUUAUUGAACGAUAGGUUGUGGAUUCGCUUAGUAGUCAUCCCACUGUUCGGCCAAUGCCACAUCAGCAACAAUCUCAUACAUUUUCAUCUCAAGAGGUUCACCUUUCAAACAAAGAGAAGAACAAGAACAAGAAGAACUAACAAGGUGAUUGCUUUUAGUGAUGAGGAGGCAGUGAGAUUUCAAUCUACUUUCUUACUAAUUGGUUGUAACGCUGCUUGUUCUAAGUAAACUGACAAGUAGACUUUGUUCAGUGGUCUGACAGUGCAAAAUGUUCUAAAAGAGAACUCUAUAGAAAUUUCCGAGGAAAGUUUUUUUGAGCUAAAGUAUGAUCCGGAGUCUGUUUUGGGUUAUAUCGAGGUAUUCAGCCCGUGUUGAAUAUCCUGUGGUUAUUCAAGCUACACAACUUUCUCUGUUUGGUUUCAACUUGGGAAUGUUUGUUGAAAAAAUUUCAAAAAAAACUAAACACUAGUUUGCUGGGGGAAAAAAAUUGAAAAUAUCUUAAACACUCGUCAUUUUCAUAUGUUUUUCUCUUUUGUACUAACGUUAUAUUGUAACUUCUAGGCAGUUCAUAUUAAUAUUUGGAAGAGUAUUGUAAUA
Camellia sinensis is the source of this 1718-nucleotide non-coding RNA. The record is from RefSeq and is a predicted model, not a curated record. Lineage: Eukaryota; Viridiplantae; Streptophyta; Magnoliopsida; Ericales; Theaceae.